This 423-nucleotide ribosomal RNA is filed under the name uncultured crenarchaeote. Its description in RNAcentral is "bacterial SSU rRNA". It matches the Rfam family "Archaeal small subunit ribosomal RNA", at positions 50 to 448 of the family's 1478-position model. Lineage: Archaea; Thermoproteati; Thermoproteota. The record is from RNAcentral.
CAUGCAAGUCGUGCGCCUCCUAGCCAUGUUGGAGGCGCGGCGUACGGCUCAGUAACACGUGGUUAAUCUGCCCUUAGGACUGGAAUAACUCCGGGAAACUGGAGCUAAUGCUGGACAGGCGAAGAUGCCUGGAAGGGUGCUUCGCCGAAAAGGCGUCGAAAACAUGCUUUUGACGCUGCCUAAGGAUGAGACCGCGUCCGAUCAGGUUGUUGGUGGGGUAACGGCCCACCAAGCCGAUAACCGGUACGGGCCCUGAGAUGGGGAGCCCGGAGAUGGAACCUGAGACAAGGUUCCAGGCCUUACGGGGCGCAGCAGGCGCGAAAACUCCACAAUGCACGAAAGUGUGAUGGGGUUACCCCGAGUGCCGUCCGUUGAGGAUGGCUUUUCAUCGGUUUAAGGAGCCGGGCGAAUAAGGGGGGGGCA